UACGGGGGGGGUAAGCGUUGUUCGGAAUUACUGGGCGUAAAGGGCUCGUAGGCGGCCAACUAAGUCAUACGUGAAAUCCCUCAGCUUAACUGGGGAACUGCGUGUGAUACUGGAUGGCUUGGAUUUGGGAGAGGGAUGCGGAAUUCCAGGUGUAGCGGUGAAAUGCGUAGAUAUCGAGAGGAACACCGGUGGCGAAGGCGGCCAACUGGACGAAUACUGACGCUGAGACUCGAAAGCGUGGGGAGCAAACAGG
RNAcentral lists this ribosomal RNA (253 nucleotides) under uncultured bacterium. RNAcentral describes it as "partial 16S ribosomal RNA". It matches the Rfam family "Bacterial small subunit ribosomal RNA", at positions 524 to 776 of the family's 1533-position model. The record is from RNAcentral.